This 395-nucleotide long non-coding RNA is filed under the name Suricata suricatta (meerkat). RNAcentral's name for it is "lncRNA (ENSSSUG00005003631.1)". The record is from RNAcentral. Lineage: Eukaryota; Metazoa; Chordata; Mammalia; Carnivora; Herpestidae.
GUCUGCUUCUUCGAGGACUUGGACAGACACCCAGUCCUUCUGGAGGUGCCAGUCUCCUGUGAUUGGACCUUCCCUCUUUUGGAAAUCCAGUUAUCUUGCUGGCAAAGGUUGCAAGCCUGCAUAAAUGCAUUAGGAGAGAGGUCUCUCUCCUUCUGGCCACAUCACAUCGUCAAAGCACACUGAUUUGUGGGAAAGAUGGCCAGAGUUAGAAUCUUUGGGAGACCUGGGUAGAACUUUCAGUGUGGCCUGGCCUGUGAUUACUCCUGAUACUGAACAGGCUGUGUUCAGCCUCACUGAUUUCCCAUCUUCAGAAUGUGAUCAGGAUACUGCUACUCAAAAAAAUAAAAAUAAAAUGGGAUACUGCUCCUCAUUUGUUGUUAGUACUUUAGAGAAAG